Long non-coding RNA from Labeo rohita (rohu), 850 nucleotides. RefSeq lists it as uncharacterized. The record is from RefSeq and is a predicted model, not a curated record. The transcript has 3 exons. NCBI's taxonomy places the organism in Eukaryota, Metazoa, Chordata, Actinopteri, Cypriniformes, Cyprinidae.
UUUUUUCUAAGAAUGUUUACAGUGGAGGACUGAAAGCCUUUUCUGCUGAAGAUGGCAGUUCAAAUUAGAAAUAAGACAAAUCUACAUUGUCAUUCACGUCAGUGAAGGACAAUGGCAUCUGUUAAGGAGCUGCUUGUGAACUCAAUGAAGGAACUGCUAGAAGCUGUCCUGAAGGAGUUUCAGCGGCACUUACAGAGUGAUCAUGAGUCUGCUUCAAGAUUUGAAAUGAAGAAUGUAGAUGUAUUAAAUACAGUGGAUAAGAUGUUAGUUUGUUUUUGACCAGAAGAAGCUGUGAAGAUCACCGUGAACAUUCUGAGGAAGAUCAAUCAGAAACCUCAGGCUGAACAGUUAGAGAACAACUGGAUCAACUGCAGAGGACAGUAAAGCUAAUCUUACUGAUUAUAGAGAGAUCAGCCUCAGACUGAAGAACGAAUUACAACAGGACUACAAGCAGAUAUUAGUUGGAUAUAUGAAGACAGUGAAAAGUUUGUGAUGAAAAGGCAUAUGCAUUUGUACGAGUCCCCCUCGUAUUUUCAGUAUUUCAAUGAAACACACAACACAAUUUACUAAAGUUGUACAUUUGCACCAUUUACCACCAACAAAGCAUGCAUUGACCCAUUCAUUUUAUGCGUGAUAUGGAUGCAGUUGCUGCUGCCAAGAGGGGGAACUGCAGAGAACAGAGAGCAUGUGGUAGAAGAGAGAGAAUUAUUUUCACUUGUAUUAAUUUAUUUGGAAUGCCAGAGGAUUGGCAUGGCCUUACUAAGUGUCUAUAUGUUAUUGAUUAUUGAUUAUUGAUGAUUAUUUGGAGUGAGCACUGGGAGCUGCUUUCUGAUGGACUGAAGAGUCUGAA